CAGCCGGCUCAGCUGGGCUGAUUCACGCUGGUGGAGGGUCCUACCCACAGCCAUCCCACGCACAAACACCAUCCCUGAGCCGAGACACUGAUCAAGGCAAUUGUGAUGGAGAUAAAUGGGGGGGAAAAAGAGGAAAAAAGAAAAAAGCCUUCCUGUUCCAUUUAAAGAUCUGGGAAAAGCAGUUUUCUGUUAUUAGUUCUCAGUAUACCCCAGUAGGCUGCCUGGUGUCCUCCUUCUCCAGCAGUGUGCCUGUGGCUCCUUGCUUGUCAAGAGGUUCUGGACAUUGAAGACAUUUUGCCUCUAAACCUCAAGGAAAAUCAGCAUGCCUGAAGCCAGGAGAAAGGAGAUUUCAGCUCCUCUUUCAGAUAAUUCUGUGCCUGCAAAAACAUUGGUUGCUUCGUGUCUCUUUGUUAUGUUUGGGGAGAGAGGAAAAGAGCCCUCCUGAGCUUUCCAGGGUGGAUGUGAAGGUCAGAAAGGUGAGAAUAAGCAGAUUUCCUCUCCCUGCUAACCUCCAAGGCCCAUCCAGCUCAUCCCAGUCCCUGGUGCUCAGGAUUGACACCAAAUACUCACUGAGAUACUCACCAAAUACUUCU
Haemorhous mexicanus (house finch) is the source of this 593-nucleotide long non-coding RNA. RefSeq lists it as uncharacterized. NCBI's taxonomy places the organism in Eukaryota, Metazoa, Chordata, Aves, Passeriformes, Fringillidae. The transcript has 3 exons. The record is from RefSeq and is a predicted model, not a curated record.